UCUUCACCGCCUUCACUGGUUCUGAUUUGAAAGAGAGGUAGAUCUGGGUAUCAUCCACAUACUGCUAACACCCAGCCCAAGGAUCAAGGAGACAGAUGGUUGGUUUCACUGGUCCAAGUAGCCUAUCCACAUCCUCAGAGGAAAUGGAAGACUCAACCCCACAGCUACAUGGGCAUGCAGAUAUUGACUCUUGGUUCACGUUUCCUUAAGACCACACUCUUCUUCAUUCCACCUUCCAACCAUGUAUGUGUAUAUGCCUCCCAAUUUAGAAUAACACUUCUGGCCCAUGAAAUAUUAUGUGAUAAGAAAUUGUUAGUCUUUAAGCUACUCCAGGACUCUUUGUUGUCUUUGGCUACUCCCUAUGCUGAGGCCUCAUUUGGGCAGUUUUGGGGUGCUCCAUCAUUACUGAGGGUUUUUUCUGCUUCUGCAAACCUUUAGGUUUCCCCAAACCUAUUGAUAUCUCCCUCAUUUGUGUAGAUAGUGCCGUUUUGGCAACAUAAAGAAUGGUGCUUGAAUAAUUCAUAUUUACUUAUAGUAAAAAUAAAAAUAAAAAGGUAAAGGACCCCUGGAUGGUUAAGUCCAGUCAAAGGUGACUAUGGGUUGUGGUGCUCAUCUUGCUUUCAGGC
Non-coding RNA from Podarcis muralis (Common wall lizard), 626 nucleotides. NCBI's taxonomy places the organism in Eukaryota, Metazoa, Chordata, Lepidosauria, Squamata, Lacertidae. The record is from RefSeq and is a predicted model, not a curated record.